RNAcentral lists this unclassified non-coding RNA (348 nucleotides) under soil metagenome. RNAcentral's name for it is "partial contains 5.8S ribosomal RNA, internal transcribed spacer 2, and large subunit ribosomal RNA". The stretch from base 1 to 120 matches the Rfam family "5.8S ribosomal RNA", at positions 35 to 154 of the family's 154-position model. The record is from RNAcentral.
GAUGAAGAACGUAGCAAAAUGCGUUAAGUAAUGUGAAUUGCAGAAUUCAGUGAAUCAUCGAAUCUUUGAACGCACAUUGCGCCCGCUGGUAUUCCGGCGGGCAUGCCUGUUCGAGCGUCAUUUCAACCCUCAAGCCCCCGGGUUUGGUGUUGGGUAUCGGCUCUGCCCUUCUGGGCGGUGCCGCCCCCGAAAUACAUUGGCGGUCUCGCUGCAGCCUCCAUUGCGUAGUAGCUAACACCUCGCAACUGGAACGCGGCGCGGCCAUGCCGUAAAACCCCAACUUCUGAAUGUUGACCUCGGAUCAGGUAGGAAUACCCGCUGAACUUAAGCAUAUCAAUAAGCGGAGGA